UCCCAGGAUGGCUCAGUUGGUAGAGCAUGAGACUCUUAAAUUCAGGGUUGUGGGUUCAAGCCUCACAUUGGGCA
This 74-nucleotide transfer RNA is filed under the name Podarcis lilfordi (Lilford's wall lizard). RNAcentral describes it as "tRNA.Lys". It matches the Rfam family "tRNA". From Rfam's summary of the family: Transfer RNA (tRNA) molecules are approximately 80 nucleotides in length. Their secondary structure includes four short double-helical elements and three loops (D, anti-codon, and T loops). The record is from RNAcentral. Lineage: Eukaryota; Metazoa; Chordata; Lepidosauria; Squamata; Lacertidae.